RNAcentral lists this unclassified non-coding RNA (490 nucleotides) under Vibrio vulnificus. RNAcentral describes it as "16S-23S intergenic spacer region". The stretch from base 1 to 68 matches the Rfam family "Bacterial small subunit ribosomal RNA", at positions 1466 to 1533 of the family's 1533-position model. The record is from RNAcentral. Lineage: Bacteria; Pseudomonadati; Pseudomonadota; Gammaproteobacteria; Vibrionales; Vibrionaceae.
GGUUCAUGACUGGGGUGAAGUCGUAACAAGGUAGCGCUAGGGGAACCUGGCGCUGGAUCACCUCCUUAUACGAUGAUUAUUGCGAUGAGUGUUCACACAGAUUGAUAUGGUUUAGAAAGUUUAGAGUAUCUUAGUGUCCCGUUCGUCUAGAGGCCUAGGACACCGCCCUUUCACGGCGGUAACAGGGGUUCGACUCCCCUACGGGAUACCAUCUUUAAGCAUUCUUACGAGUGUGUUUAAACAUGGUUUUCAUUAGAAAAUCUGCUCUUUAACAAUUUGGAAAGCUGACAAAACAACAAUUUAUUGUUGUUUGUAAAGUUCUCAAUGUUUGUCUUUAAGACAAACACCAACAAACACAUUCAAGUGUUCUUGGGAAUGUCACUUUUAGUGACUAUUCGAAAUUGAGUCCGGCAAAAUCAACGCUAUCUCGCUCAUUCAAAUAAUGAGAUAGCAACUUUGGUUGUUUAACAAAGACCCUUUGGGGUUGUAU